This 468-nucleotide ribosomal RNA is filed under the name uncultured bacterium. RNAcentral describes it as "partial 16S ribosomal RNA". It matches the Rfam family "Bacterial small subunit ribosomal RNA", at positions 28 to 507 of the family's 1533-position model. The record is from RNAcentral.
GACGAACGCUGGCGGCGUGCUUAACACAUGCAAGUCGAACGGAAAGGCCCUGCUUUUGUGGGGUGCUCGAGUGGCGAACGGGUGAGUAACACGUGAGUAACCUGCCCUUGACCUUGGGAUAACUUCAGGAAACUGGGGCUAAUACCGGAUAGGAGCUCCUGCUGCAUGGUGGGGGUUGGAAAGUUUCGGCGGUUGGGGAUGGACUCGCGGCUUAUCAGCUUGUUGGUGGGGUAGUGGCUUACCAAGGCUUUGACGGGUAGCCGGCCUGAGAGGGUGACCGGCCACAUUGUGACUGAGAUACGGCCCAGACUCCUACGGGAGGCAGCAGUGGGGAAUAUUGCACAAUGGGCGGAAGCCUGAUGCAGCAACGCCGCGUGCGGGAUGACGGCCUUCGGGUUGUAAACCGCUUUCGCCUGUGACGAAGCGUGAGUGACGGUAAUGGGUAAAGAAGCACCGGCUAACUACGUG